This 253-nucleotide ribosomal RNA is filed under the name uncultured bacterium. RNAcentral's name for it is "partial 16S ribosomal RNA". It matches the Rfam family "Bacterial small subunit ribosomal RNA", at positions 524 to 776 of the family's 1533-position model. The record is from RNAcentral.
UACGGGGGGGGUAAGCGUUGUUCGGAAUUACUGGGCGUAAAGGGCUCGUAGGCGGCCAACUAAGUCAUACGUGAAAUCCCUCAGCUUAACUGGGGAACUGCGUGUGAUACUGGAUGGCUUGGAUUUGGGAGAGGGAUGCGGAAUUCCAGGUGUAGCGGUGGAAUGCGUAGAGAUCCGGAAGAACACCGGUGGCGAAGGCGGCCUGCUGGGACGUGGCUGACGCUGAGGCGCGACAGCGUGGGGAGCAAACAGG